Molecule: ribosomal RNA, 503 nt
Filed under: uncultured bacterium
Lineage: Bacteria
Description: partial 16S ribosomal RNA
Rfam family: Bacterial small subunit ribosomal RNA
Source: RNAcentral
AUUGAACGCUGGCGGCAUGCCUUACACAUGCAAGUCGAACGGCAGCACGGGAGCUUGCUCCUGGUGGCGAGUGGCGAACGGGUGAGUAAUACAUCGGAACGUACCCAGUAGUGGGGGAUAACGCACCGAAAGGUGCGCUAAUACCGCAUACGACCUACGGGUGAGAGCGGGGGACCGUAAGGCCUCGCGCUAUUGGAGCGGCCGAUGUCUGAUUAGCUAGUUGGCGGGGUAAUAGCCCACCAAGGCGACGAUCAGUAGCUGGUCUGAGAGGACGAUCGGCCACACUGGGACUGAGACACGGUCCAGACUCCUACGGGAGGUAGCAGUGGGGAAUUUUGGACAAUGGGGGCAACCCUGAUCCAGCAAUGCCGCGUGUGCGAAGAAGGCCUUCGGGUUGUAAAGCACUUUUGUCAGGGAAGAAAUCUUUCAGGCUAAUACCCUUGGAAGGAUGACGGUACCUGAAGAAUAAGCACCGGCUAACUACGUGCCAGCAGCCGCAGUAA